This 887-nucleotide ribosomal RNA is filed under the name uncultured bacterium. Its description in RNAcentral is "bacterial SSU rRNA". It matches the Rfam family "Bacterial small subunit ribosomal RNA", at positions 21 to 906 of the family's 1533-position model. The record is from RNAcentral.
GGCUCAGAUUGAACGCGGGCGGCAUGCCUUACACAUGCAAGUCGAACGGCAGCGCGGGGCAACCUGGCGGCGAGUGGCGAACGGGUGAGUAAUAUAUCGGAACGUACCCUAGAGUGGGGGAUAACGUAGCGAAAGUUACGCUAAUACCGCAUACGAUCUAAGGAUGAAAGUGGGGGAUCGCAAGACCUCAUGCUCGUGGAGCGGCCGAUAUCUGAUUAGCUAGUUGGUGGGGUAAAGGCCUACCAAGGCAACGAUCAGUAGCUGGUCUGAGAGGACGACCAGCCACACUGGAACUGAGACACGGUCCAGACUCCUACGGGAGGCAGCAGUGGGGAAUUUUGGACAAUGGGGGCAACCCUGAUCCAGCAAUGCCGCGUGUGUGAAGAAGGCCUUCGGGUUGUAAAGCACUUUUGUCAGGAACGAAACGGAGAUUGCUAAUAUCGAUCUCUAAUGACGGUACCUGAAGAAUAAGCACCGGCUAACUACGUGCCAGCAGCCGCGGUAAUACGUAGGGUGCAAGCGUUAAUCGGAAUUACUGGGCGUAAAGCGUGCGCAGGCGGUUAUGUAAGUCUGUCGUGAAAUCCCCGGGCUCAACCUGGGAAUUGCGAUGGAGACUGCAUGGCUAGAAUCUGGCAGAGGGGGGUAGAAUUCCACGUGUAGCAGUGAAAUGCGUAGAGAUGUGGAGGAACACCGAUGGCGAAGGCAGCCCCCUGGGCUAAGAUUGACGCUCAUGCACGAAAGCGUGGGGAGCAAACAGGAUUAGAUACCCUGGUAGUCCACGCCCUAAACGAUGUCUACUAGUUGUCGGGACUUAAUUGUCUUGGUAACGCAGCUAACGCGUGAAGUAGACCGCCUGGGGAGUACGGUCGCAAGAUUAAAACUCAAAG